AAAAUUAAUGUGAAAUUCAGAUCCCCCUACCCAAAAUUGAAAAGAUGCGAGAGGAUAUAACCCUUCAAGAAGCCAAAACAGGACGAGAAUAAUUUAGACGCUGAACUUUUUGAAAAUCCUAGCAAUAUCCUGGAGCUUAGGUAUUGGUCUUCUUAUGGCGGAUAAAUAUAUUCUAGGACUGGUAAUUUCUUAAAACUUUUCACUAGGUGUCCUAUUUCUUGAUCUUUAUAUGUUAGUUUAUAAGUCUCCAUGGAUGUUUUAUCAAGUGUUUUUAUUUGUUUCUUAAAUAUUGAUGAUUGCUUUUGCUAAUAUACACGAGGCUCAUAUAGUUUCUUUCAUUGAUGUUGUUGAAACUAUUAAGGAGGGUAGAGUUCAUAUAGACUACCCAGAGAAUAUUAAGGCUGAUGACAAUGGGAAAGACAAGGUUUCAAUCUAACUGGCCCUCUUAUGUUACAUCUUCCUGUUAUUAUAUGUUAUGACAUCUUUCUGUUAUUA
Papaver somniferum (opium poppy) is the source of this 495-nucleotide long non-coding RNA. RefSeq lists it as uncharacterized. NCBI's taxonomy places the organism in Eukaryota, Viridiplantae, Streptophyta, Magnoliopsida, Ranunculales, Papaveraceae. The record is from RefSeq and is a predicted model, not a curated record. The transcript has 2 exons.